UUUAGUCAAAAAGCUAAAAUUUAGUUAAAAGACGAGAAGACCCUAUAAAUCUUUAUAGUUUUAUAAUAUUAAUUUUAUAGAUUAUUUUUAUUAUUAUUAGAAAAAUUAUUUUAUUGGGGUGAUAUUAAAAUUUAAAAAACUUUUAAUUUUAUUAAUCAUUAAUUUAUGAAUAAAUGAUCCUAUAUUAUGGAUUAAUAGAAUAAGUUACUUUAGGGAUAACAGCGUAAUUUUUUUGGAGAGUUCAUAUCGAUAAAAAAGAUUGCGACCUCGAUGUUGGAUUAAGAUAUAAUUUUAGGUGCAGAAGCUUAAAUUUUGAGUCUGUUCGACUUUUAAAUUCUUACAUGAUCUGAGUUCAAACCGGCGUAAGCCAGGUUGGUUUCUAUCUUUAAUAAA
This 393-nucleotide non-coding RNA is filed under the name Nicotiana sylvestris (wood tobacco). RNAcentral describes it as "Bacterial large subunit ribosomal RNA". It matches the Rfam family "Bacterial large subunit ribosomal RNA", at positions 2049 to 2651 of the family's 2925-position model. Lineage: Eukaryota; Viridiplantae; Streptophyta; Magnoliopsida; Solanales; Solanaceae. The record is from Rfam by way of RNAcentral.